Melitaea cinxia (Glanville fritillary) is the source of this 686-nucleotide long non-coding RNA. RefSeq lists it as uncharacterized. The record is from RefSeq and is a predicted model, not a curated record. The transcript has 2 exons. NCBI's taxonomy places the organism in Eukaryota, Metazoa, Arthropoda, Insecta, Lepidoptera, Nymphalidae.
AUCAAUACUACUAAGCGGGCUUGGAAAACCGUUACAAUUCAUUAUAUCGGUGUUGGGGACACUAGAACCUUGUUGCUAUGGAAAAUGGACUAUGGCAGAAACCUGGCUUCAUAACUGUACACCCUAAGUGCAAAACCAAAUAACUGAAAAAUAUGAUCAAUCGACCUUAUUUUACGUUACACAAUAUUAUGUACAUUAAAAUAUAUAAUUUUACGCUAAAUAAUAUAGCCAUGUUACAAAAUUUUUAAUGACACUUUUUUUUUGUAAAAUAAAUUACUUACAGGAUUCUCCAAUUUCUUCUAUAACUGUAUUUUUAUCUUUUAAGAAUAUAUUCAUAUGUGACUUUUCUAUGUUAUCAGCAGUCUUCAAUAAGUCAUAGGACGUUUUAAGUUCUAUGAUUGAACUGUUAUUAGCUACAUUUAUUUGUUUAUUUAAUGUAUUCUGAUCUUCUAUUUUAGAAUGCUGUAAAUCCAAUUUGUUAUCCAUGUUGAAAUUACUAUUGUAAUUACAAUCUAAAUCUAUUAUUUGUUUCGUAUUAAAUUCAUUCAUUUUAUUAUUAAAUAGUCUAUUUUGAAAUGCGUUUUGUACUUCAUGUGAGAGCUUCUGACAUCUUUUUUGAAUUGAUUUUGUUUCCUCUUUAAAUUUUCUUAAAAGAUGUUCAUUAUAGUCAUUUAGUUUAUGAGUUA